AGGACGAACGCUGGCGGCGCGCUUAACACAUGCAAGUAGAGCGAGAACCGAAGCCUUCGGGCAUCGGGGAAAGCGGCGAACGGGUGAGUAACACGUGGGCAACCCACCCUUGGUACCGGGAUAGCCCGGGGGAAACCCGGAUUAAUACCGGAUGGCCCAGCAGCCUUUCGGGGCGGCUGGAAAAGGGAGCUUCGGCCUCCGACCAAGGACGGGCCCGCGGCGGAUUAGCUUGUUGGUGGGGUAACGGCCUACCAAGGCGACGAUCCGUAGCUGGUCUGAGAGGACGAUCAGCCACACUGGGACUGAGACACGGCCCAGACUCCUACGGGAGGCAGCAGUGGGAAUCUUGCGCAAUGGGCGAAAGCCUGACGCAGCGACGCCGCGUGGGGGAAGAAGGCUUUCGGGUUGUAAACCCCUUUCAGGAGGACGAAGCUCCUCGGGUGAAUAGCCCAGAGGGUGACGGUACUUCCAGAAGAAGCCCCGGCUAACUACGUGCCAGCAGCCGC
Molecule: ribosomal RNA, 506 nt
Filed under: uncultured bacterium
Lineage: Bacteria
Description: SSU rRNA
Rfam family: Bacterial small subunit ribosomal RNA
Source: RNAcentral